Melopsittacus undulatus (budgerigar) is the source of this 2091-nucleotide long non-coding RNA. RefSeq lists it as uncharacterized. Lineage: Eukaryota; Metazoa; Chordata; Aves; Psittaciformes; Psittaculidae. The record is from RefSeq and is a predicted model, not a curated record. The transcript has 3 exons.
UUUAAAUUUAUGUCAUGAGCAUUUGCAAUCCGUAACUUCCUUUACCAAAUUUUGCAGUCCUUCAACAAUCAAAAUGCCCACGAAAAUUGCACGUAUUUUGCCAACAGCCCCAGCGCGUUAAACACUGCGUCAUUAUGCCGCACUAAGGGAGAGAGGGAGAAUAAACCCCACUUUACAAAGGAAGGAAACCAAAUCCUAGAAGAAAUGAUUCAGCUUAUACAAUGUCACACACACACAAGUGUCAGAGGGAGGAAGAGAUCACAGCUUGCCCAAGUCCUCUUGCAGCAAUAUGCAGAAAACCAUAAUGGAGCAAUUAGCCACGUACAGCAGCACCACCAUCCCCAUGCACAAAAUCGCUCCUGUCCUACGCCAUGUCCCCUUCUUAGCCUUGUUUCUUGCCAGUCCCACAGAUUUACCUGCUGACAGUAACCUCAAUUCCUGAGUAAUGAGAUUUACAGCUGAAGUUUAACAUUGAAAUAACUCCUCUUUUAUCUCUGUCUCCUUACCCUCCCUGCAGUUAGAUGCAAUUAAACUAGCGCUGUGGCAGAAAGAUGGUAGCAAAAGAAAUCAAACCAAAUGCAUCCCAGCGCUGCACACAGAUACUCAAAAAGUACGUAUAUGCCCAAGCAGGUGUACUGGCUGCCAGUUUCACCUCGAAUCAAAGGACUGGGAAAUGUGACAGAAUGCCAGGUUGGAAGAGACAACAGCUUUGCAAAUUAACUGGGUCCUUCCCCCCACAAGAACUAUGCAAAGGGUUGUCUGUACAGAGACAGACUCAACCCACCCAUCUUCUAUGCCACAGAGCACUGUUUCUUAGUCCAUCUCCUGGCUAUACAGAUUUACCUCUAUGACUGCCUUGUUCCUAUCUUUGUAUGUAUUUAUGCCUGUCUGUUUUGCUGCAGGGACCAUCGUUGUUGCUGCUAUCCUGUCAUUCCCCUGCUCUGCAGAACUGGCGCUGCAGGAGGCAAGGAUGCUCCAAGGGAGCCAGCUAAAGCCAGCGAAGGCUCAAGGACAGGCUACGCUGAAGGAAUGGAGACGGCGGACGCAGCAUGUUUGAGCCGGUUCUGAACCCAGCAGUUGUUGCUAAACAACCGGACCCGAUGCCUGGGAGGUCAGCGAACCUUUACAGACCCAUCACUCAAGACUGUCUUCAGCUCUCCCUGAUGUUACCGAGCCUGUGGCAAACUCACACUUGGGCAAACAAAAGCUGAGUUUGGGCAAGAGCCUUCUUCGCUUUGCUUUUUCCCAUGACAUAACUUCCAGGCGCAAUCCCUGCCCUGAGCAGUUUACAGUCCUGCUCACACUAAACCACCUUAAAAGGGAGAAGGAAGAAAGCAAGCACGGAGAAAAGCCCCAAACCCCAGGACUUUCCCCUUCCCCGUGGUUUGCAGCUCUGACACGUCAUCAUCGCAACCAUGGCAAAAUGAAACCUCACCAGCACCCGCAAAAGAGACACCCAUGGGAGCAAGGACCAGCACCCACUGCACCGAGGAGGUAACUGCUGCUGUCCUGCCUGCUGCCCCUGCCUGUGGGACACCCAGGAUCCCAGCAGGAGCGGGCAGGGGCUGCCGGCACUUUGAAGCAAGUGAAAUCAACGUUGAGAUUUGACACCCAGUUCUCGACCAAUCAGAGAGAGCUUUUCACCUGCCAUCACCUCCUCCACCAAUCGGACGGCGCUUUUGGGCUGAGAGCCCUCCCCGGCCAAUGGGGAGCCAGCUCUGCCACUUAGUUAAUGAUGCAGCAGUACAGGGAAGACUAUCACAUGUGAGCUGGAAGGCUGCCAACAUGGAGACACGGAGAGAGCAAGGUAAACAACUUUCCAACGCCAAAAUGAUGACAUUUAAUCCCUAAACGCUAGCUUCCCGUCUCGACUCAUCUUUAACCCCUUUCAGCUGGUGUGGAAGCGUCUGGAAGGCACCGUCUACCUGUUCCCCAGUGCUUUUAAAACUGGACGACAUGCCCUGCAAUGAUCACUGCGUCACCGUUUACCACUUUGCAAACUACGCAGUGGCAAACCUCCGAGCUCUGAAACGCAGAGCGCCUGUUAACCCCUCCACCAAAGCCCUGCCAACGUGCCAGCCUUUACAGAGC